CCAGACUCCUACGGGAGGCAGCAGUGGGGAAUAUUGCACAAUGGGGAAACCCUGAUGCAGCGACGCCGCGUGAGCGAUGAAGUAUUUCGGUAUGUAAAGCUCUAUCAGCAGGGAAGAAGAUGGCGGUACCUGACUAAGAAGCCCCGGCUAACUACGUGCCAGCAGCCGCGGUAAUACGUAGGGGGCAAGCGUUAUCCGGAUUUACUGGGUGUAAAGGGAGCGUAGACGGCGAUGCAAGUCUGAAGUGAAAGGUGGGGGCCCAACCCCCGGACUGCUUUGGAAACUGUAUGGCUGGAGUGCAGGAGAGGUAAGUGGAAUUCCUAGUGUAGCGGUGAAAUGCGUAGAUAUUAGGAGGAACACCAGUGGCGAAGGCGGCUUACUGGACUGUAACUGACGUUGAGGCUCGAAAGCGUGGGGAGCAAACAGGAUUAGAUACCCCCGUAC
Molecule: ribosomal RNA, 444 nt
Filed under: uncultured bacterium
Lineage: Bacteria
Description: bacterial SSU rRNA
Rfam family: Bacterial small subunit ribosomal RNA
Source: RNAcentral